RNAcentral lists this microRNA precursor (65 nucleotides) under Oryza meridionalis. RNAcentral describes it as "pre miRNA MIR2907". It matches the Rfam family "MIR2907 microRNA precursor family". Lineage: Eukaryota; Viridiplantae; Streptophyta; Magnoliopsida; Poales; Poaceae. The record is from RNAcentral.
CAGCGCCCCUUCCUCCGCCCACCCAGCUGCAACAUGGCAGCCGAGUGAGGGCCUCGGGGCGGCGU